RNAcentral lists this ribosomal RNA (253 nucleotides) under uncultured bacterium. RNAcentral's name for it is "partial 16S ribosomal RNA". It matches the Rfam family "Bacterial small subunit ribosomal RNA", at positions 524 to 776 of the family's 1533-position model. The record is from RNAcentral.
GACAGAGGGUGCGAACGUUGUUCGGAAUUACUGGGCGUAAAGCGCAUGUAGGCGGCCAUGCAGGUCAGCUGUGAAAACUCGAGGCUCAACCUCGAGACGUCGGUUGAAACCGUAUGGCUAGAGUCCGGAAGAGGAGAGUGGAAUUCCCGGUGUAGCGGUGAAAUGCGCAGAUAUCGGGAAGAACACCUAUGGCGAAGGCAGCUCUCUGGGACGGUACUGACGCUGAGACGCGAAAGCGUGGGGAGCAAACAGG